CCAGUAGUGAUCGCAAGAUGGCAGAGUUGCGAGUGUAAGACCGAAGGGAGAGGAUUUCCCUUUUUUAUCCGGCUGUGCGUCCUUCUAUUUACAGAACUUCCUGAGGGAUGCAAGCAAGGAGAUCCCCCUGAGAGAACGAGAGACCCUGAAGUGCUGUACUGGAGCUUCUUUGAUGGCCAAGCGAGCCAGCAGAGAACCCCAGUCUUGAAAUUCCGCUGGAAAGAGAAAUGAAGAGAGUUCUCUCGACGACACCCUCCACUUUGGAUAUGUGAUAGCGUUAUGUGCGACUGGAAGUGAUAAUCGGCCUGGAAUUUGCUUGUCGAGUUCGUUUUUCCUAAAAGUUGAUAUUGAUAUUAGUUUGUUCUGGUUUACCUAUAAGUCAAAAGUGAUUACAAAAAGAGAAAUUAUACCGUCGUACUAGCUAUGACUACAUGCCACCCCACGAGUCGUCAGACGUGGCCGCACCGCUUGGCAGGACAGACCUAGUGAAUCGUUGCUAGGCCCCAGGGACAAGUUCUCAAUUGGCCUGUGGCUUAGGUUUGAUGGUGAACAUUGUUGGUGUCCGUACGUUGGUCCCCCCCUCCGUGGGCGGCCCUCCCCUAACCGAGACCAAGAUGACGGCACGGGCCAUUCUGCAGUGUCGACCCAAUUCGCAUCCCUUCCCACAGGAUGCGGAGGCUGGGGAAAGGGAUGCGUUGUACGCCUUGCAAGAGAGAACGUUAGUCCUUGACCAGCCGGUGAAGAUCGGACGCUCGGUGGCUCGGAACCGGCCAGCAACCAACAAUGCCAUCUUCGACUGCAAGGUGCUCUCCAGAAACCAUGCCGUGCUCUGGUAUGAGAAUGGGAAGUUCUACCUGCAAGACACAAAGAGCAGCAAUGGCACAUUUGUCAACAACCAGAGGCUUAGCAAAGGUUCUGAGGAGUCUGCCCCAAGAGAGGUGUGCUCAGGGGAUAUUGUACAGUUCGGUGUUGAUGUCAUGGAGAACUCCAGGAAGGUGACACAUGGAUGUAUAGUGGCAACCCUAAAGCUAUAUAUGCCAGAUGGCCAGGAGGCUAAGGCCAGUCCUUCAACAGCAGUAGGUGGAGCAGUCACCAGCGUCUCAGCACAGGAACUGUAUCAGUUACGAACGUAUCUCCAGGAAGCAACUCACCGCGAACAACAAAUUGAGACAAAAUUGGCUACCUUGCAACGAUUGGUGUCUUCUACUCAGGAAGCUGCUACACAGAGCUGGAAUGCCAUGAUUGACGAAGAUCGGUUACUGCAACGACUAGAAACCUUAGAAGCUCAACUUACAACAUACUCCAAGAAUUACCCUGAAGAUAGCGUUAGGGAAGAAAUGCGACGAUUGCUGGACGAGAAGGGCCAGUAUGAGACCACUGCCAAAGAAUCAUUACGACGGGUUUUGCAGGAGAAGUUGGACGCAGUCACCAAGCUGGCAGACUUAGAAAGGACAUUAAGUACUUCUGAGGAUGAAUUGAGUCACAUGAAGGACCUAUGCGAGACGACACAGAAGGAACUUCAGGAGCUGUUGGAGAAGCAGACGACCCAGAACGAGCAGAUUGCCCAACUUACUGAAAAACUAAAGGCAGCUGAAGAUCAGUUGAAAGAUGUGGAGGAAAAUUUUGAACAGGAGAAGAAGGAAUUGGAAAAUAAGUUACUAGAAAAGAAUAAUGACGAAAACAAAUUGUUAGCUAGAAUAGAAAGUUUAACGGCAGAAAGUGACUUUACGAAAGAGCAGUUAAGUGCCAUGAAAGCUAAAUAUGAAAAUAUUAAGAAUGGUGAAAUCAGUGGACUUAUUAAGCCGGUAAAGGAUUCCUCAGGUCUAGACAAUAUAAGCAUCGAGUCUACUGACGUGAAGCAAGCUCUCGAGACUUCGCAGAGGGAGAUCUUCACCCUCAAGGACCGACUCCAAAUUGCUCAGGACGAACUCAGGCAAACUGAAGCGAACGUAUCGCAGCUCAAACAUGAGGCAGAGCUGGCGGACAGUGCAGAGGUUGGAUGUUUGAGCACGCGCGCUCGCCUCCAGGAGGAGCUCUCGGAAAACAAAGCGAAAAGCGCAGCAAACACAGCCCUGACUGAGCACCUCCAGACUCAGAUUGGUGCCCUGGAAGAUCGCUUGCAGAUGUAUGAGGGAGAGUCGCAUAAGGUCAAGAUUUAUGAUGAUAUCUAUGAGGAUACUUUAGUGAGGAAAAAGAAGGAUCUGAAUAAGAAUAAAAACAAGUUGAAUGAGGAUGACGGAGACGACACCAAAGACAAGGAAUCCAACGAUAUCGGCGAGAUCACUCAGGACGCCGACACGACCCUCACCAUUAUCCCUACAAAGGAAUCUUGCAAGGAAUCAAAUGUGAAUGGCACUGUUGAGGAGGAAGAAGAAAAAGAGGAGGAAGGCAAGGAAGGAGUCAUCCAUGAGUCACUACUGCGCUCCGACAUCCUUAAACUUCAAGCAAUGCUUGAUUCAAGUCGAGUAACACAAGAAGCAACCGAAAAAGAAGCAGUUCGCAUUAGAGAGGAACUAGCUCAGGCCUCAACUGCGGCCAUAACCGCAUCCCAUGAGGCAUCCAACCUUCGACAACAGUUGGCAGCAAGUGAGGCUUUGAUGAGUGAGAAAGUGAAGAUGGUAGCAUCACUACAGAACCAAGUCAGUCGUAUGGAGGACUCGGCUAAGGAGGUUCAGGCUCACCUCUCUACUCUCACAGCAAAGCUAAAAGAGGAACAGGAUAAAGUUCUGGCUGCCCAGGAGGAAGCCCACCUUCUUCGAAAAAAACUAAACAAAGCAGAAGAGCUAGCCAGUCUCACCGUCCAGGAGGCAGAGUCGCUGAAGGUGCGGAUAAUUGGGCUAGAGGAGAGGAUGAGCCAGGCCUCUCCGACCACCCCCCUCAUCAUCCCUCCUUCUUCACACGCUCCUGGCCUUCCAAGCGACGUAUCUCGAGCCGAAACACUCACGGAAAGCGACAGCCAACAAGGUUCCACCGAGGAGCCGUCCGAAGCCACAGAGGUCUUGGAGAGGAGCGAUAUCCCUAAUGGCCACCCAAGCCAGACCUCACCCACUGUUGGAACGGAAACGAAAGAACAGGAAAUUAAUACUCUAAAGGAAAUGGUUAAGAAACUUCAGGAGGAGCUGUCCCAGACGCGACAACAGUGCACAACGCUGCAGGAGCGAGAACGAGGGCUACAACAGCCACUGGAUGGAGAGAAUGCUGCGUCUGAGAAGAAUGCAGAAGACUCCAGACCUAACCGUGUGGAUGGAGUUGUUACACCUACCCUAAAUGACGGACCACUAAUAGCAGAGAAACUGGAGAGCCUUCGAGAGGAGUUGGAGUCCCUGAAGGAGGAACGCGAUCACUUAAGAGACAAGCUCGGGGGGGUGGAUGAGGAUUACCAACUCCUCGCUCUGCAAAACAAGACGACGAUCCCAACCUGGGUCAUGGUAGUUAUGGUGAUGGCUCUGGCUCUCGGAUCUGAAUUAAUUCCCAACAUUAUAUGAUAAACUUGUAUAAAAUCUAUGCAUAUAUAAAGAAAUAGAGAAAUGUGUGUGUAUAUAUAUAUAUAAAGAUAAGGAAAAAAAAACACAAAAAAAGCCCAGUAUCCUUUAAAUAUACUUGAAGAUAUUAGUUGCAUUGAAUCAUGUAAUAGAUUAUAUAGUGAUGUUGAUGUAAAGAUAUUAUGGGAUAGUCAACUGUUGAUAUGUUGCACAAUGUACGUGCCAAUUUUUCUUCUUGUAUCUCAAAUCAUGUAUAGUAAAACAACUUUGUAUUUAGAUUGUACAGCUCUAGAAUAUGUUGAUAGAAUAUAGGCCUAGUAAACAUUUGAUUGUUAUAUAUUAUUGCAUAAUGUACUCUAUAUUGCACAUAUGCAAUGUAAAUAUGUAAAUAUAUGUUAGCUAAUAAGUAAGAAUGCAUAAAGAAAAACAAACAAACUUAAAACUAAAAAAAAAGAGAAAGAAAGAACUAGUGAAAAGAAGCAACAUCCAAGUUAAAUGUAAAGACAACCGCCAAUCAAUAGACAAAAAAAAAAAGAGAAAGCAAAGUACGAGCCAGUCCCAGAAGCCCUGUGAUAUUAGCCAUUGUAAAGCCCUGCAGAAAGGUCUUAGAAGGCCCAUGGGAUAAGGCUGCUGCUGCCUCGGCCCCACCGCAAAGCAGACCAAAAGGCUGUGGCGCUAUCCAUGGUGCCGCUGUGCAUCCUGAUCUUGGGCUUCAUCACUGCGUUCUAUGACACCCUCUCUGCCUUGACCGGCACGACAGAGUUCGACCCGCCCUCUUAAGACACUCUCGCAGUCUAUCGAGCACCGUUCUUUGGUUUGUUAUGGACGCUAUGCCAGAACUGUUGGUAGAACCUGUUACGUUAUUGUCCCCGAUAGUGUAUCCCACGUCAUUAAGUAUGAUGAUAAUAAUAAUAAUAAUAAUGAAUAAAAGUAUCCACCUCUUACCCAGUCACCAUCCAAGCUAUUAGUAACUGCCACAUGGGAUACAGAAACCUGUAAUAAACCUUUAACAAAAAAAAAAAGAAAAGAAAUGCAUAUCCUGAAGGCAUGACUGUUUGUGCAUCCUAAAGGCAAAGUUCUGCUGGAUCUGCUUCCUCAGGGAACUGAGAGUCAAGAGUUUAAUGUUUAAAAUCCUGUGCUACCAAGUGAUUGUACAGCUCAGACGAUGUACAAUGCGCUCCCUCCCUGCCCCAUGAAGCAACUCCCCCCCCCCCCCCCCCCAAGUAAUCAGAGGUUUUCCUUACAUUUUCUCCCCCCCCCCCCUCCAAAUAAAUAAAAAAUGACUAGCAAGAUUUCAAGAUGAAUGGAUGGAUUGAAGGAUUAUGGCCACUUUUACCAGUGAUAAGACGUCAACAAAAACAAAAAAUGCAACAGUAGUGUAUCAGGUAAAUUUUGAUGGGACUUUGCUACCAUCAAAUAAAGCACAAGCUGUAUAUAUAGAACCUAUGGUUCUUUUUCCUUCUCAUAUCUUCAAUGUCUUUGUAUAUGCACACAAAAUUGUACUGUUGGUUGUAGACAUUGGCUUGCUGUAAGUCUUUCAUUCUUCUGCCAACAUUUUAACUUAUAUAGGAUUUGAUCAAGUCUCUCCUUGAUUUUUAUUUUACAAUAUAGAUCUUUUUUUUUUCCUCUGUAUACUGUGUGAACAGAACCUGAAAAUAAGGUGUAAAUUAACUUUCAAAUUGACAAAACACUGUAUCAUCGCAGUAGAGACGAUACUAGUACGUUUCCCACUCAAAAAAAAGGAUAUAUUGUUUUUAAUCAAUUCUUUAUUUUAUUAUUUCAGCAAGGGAGCUGAGAAUUUCAUAUUUCCUUUGGCUUUCAAUCCACACAUUUUGAUAAGAGUUUUGAAAUAGCUUUUGGUAUUAGAGUACUUUGACACCUAAUUUGUAAUGUACGAAACUAAUUGAAAAUGUAACACUUUUUUUUAAGAAACAUCAUUAAACCCUUUUUUCUUUUUUUCUAAGAAUUGAGUAGAAUACUAAACUUUUUUCUAUCCUGUUUUACACAGUUCAUAAAGACAUUUAAAACUUGUUUAGGAAUGUGUUUUGUAAAAAUAAAAAACAAAAUAAUUCAAUGUGAGGUGUAGCCAAUAUGUUGUUGUACCUGUUAUUUAUCUGUGAUAAGAAGUGGUUAUCAUUAUUGUACCCAUGUAUGAUUUUUUUUUCCUUAUCAUUUAUACUAAUAAUCUUCCAAUCUUUAUUGCUUUUUAGCAUAUUGGUUACACCAUUAUGUUUUAUCAAUGUCCUGGUGGAUCUUUGGGAAGUCGAAAUUUUGAAGCUAAGAAAAAACAAAAAACAAAGAUAACACGAAUAAUAAACAGGGUAGUUAUUAUACUUCCAGAAUAUCACGUUGAAGCAAAGGUUGAAAGUGUUGAAACGAAGCACAGACGCUGUAGUUUGUGGUGUGCCCAGUGCUACAAAGUGUGAAGAUAUCCUACUUCUGGCAAAUUUCUCCCAAAUGUGUGUGUGAAGGGGGAAAAAAAAAAAAUGCAGAGAAAUUGAGAAGAAUGUCUUUCUUGUGAGUGAGUGCUUCGUCAGGCUCAAAAAAAUUAACGAUUGUGUCACGGAGAAGGGAAGAAAGAAUGAAUCGUGUAUAUACCGCAGCUGCCAAAUUCCCUGACACAGGUCUGACCUUUUUACUAAGGCUCCCCCCCUAGUCACCAGUCCGGUGUUUUUUUCGCCGACCACCCCAGACCUCUGAUGAAAGUCAUGUACAGAAAACUUGUCGGAAUCCUCAUGUACAUAGGCUGACUUCUCGUCACCCGAGACCGACUGUGUAUAAAGACUGAGUUGUAUACUGCCAUUAUUCACUAGUAAAUGUAGGGAAUUUACUCUUAGAUAUUUAUGUUUGUUUGAUAUGAGAUCAUGUUAACUAUUGUAGUUCUUGUUCCGUUGAUUUUAAAAAGGAUGUUAAUUACAUGUUAAGCCUAAGAUGCUUUAUACAUGAUUCCCUCUUCUGAGUUUUAUUCAUGCUUUGUACUUCAGUUCUUGAGAAGUAAAAGUUUCUAUGGUAAGAGAAAAAAAAAUGUUCUUGAAAUCUGUUAUACAAGUCACAAUUUUGUGUCCCACUUAGCACAUUUUUUUGUAGGUGUCAUAUAUAUAUAAAUAUAUAAAUAUAUAUAUAUAAUAUUCAAUUUUAUAUGAAUCACAUGUACAAACAAAGCCAAGCACACAGAGGCUACCGUAAACUGGCCGAGUUCAUAUAGAAUUGGAAUCCGUUUAGGUAGAACACUUAACAUCCAUUAUACUUUCCUAGUGAGGUUGUUUAUGUAAUUUUCUUUUUCUUUUUUAAGUAAAUGUCAUCACACCCCCUAGUUUUGUGGAUGUUCUCUCAAAUUGUACUGACCAUUUUUUUUUUCUGUCCUUUAGCUACUAAAGGGAAAAAAAAGAGCAAGUCACAAACAUGUCUGAAUAUUCAGUUCUUUAUGAAUACUGUCAGUUAUUAGGUACUCUGGCCAGGCACCAAUGCUCAUGAAGUGCUGCGCUUAGGGUGUCAGUCAGUAAACAAAAAUGAAAAAAUGACAUGUUCUCAAGCUUCCAAAUACAAAUAUUCAGCAUC
RNAcentral lists this unclassified non-coding RNA (7040 nucleotides) under Penaeus japonicus. Its description in RNAcentral is "sarcolemmal membrane-associated protein-like, transcript variant X4". Lineage: Eukaryota; Metazoa; Arthropoda; Malacostraca; Decapoda; Penaeidae. The record is from RNAcentral.